AACCACCAACACAACCAUAAGACACUUCUAUCUUCGCUCCACUUUCCACCUAUAAUCUUAUUCAACAUUUCUAAUAUACUAUCUCAAUCUUAAAUUAUAAUUUUUUCUAACUUUUUUAGAAAAUCAAAGAAUCUUUAUUUAACUAAAUUUAUAUAACAAAAUAAUAGCAUUUAUGCAUACAAGUAUGGCCUAGUAAGAAAAACCACCUUACCAACAUUCUUGGAUGGG
RNAcentral lists this long non-coding RNA (228 nucleotides) under Sorghum bicolor (sorghum). Its description in RNAcentral is "long non-coding RNA (SBIC_LNC002185)". Lineage: Eukaryota; Viridiplantae; Streptophyta; Magnoliopsida; Poales; Poaceae. The record is from RNAcentral.